CACGUACUCCCUCCGUCCCAAAAUUCUUGUCUUAAAUUUGUCUAGAUACGAUGUAUCUAGUCACGUUUUAGUAUUUAGAUACAUCCAUUUCUAGACAAACUUAAGACAAAAAAUUUGGGAUGGAGGGAGUAUGUU
RNAcentral lists this microRNA precursor (135 nucleotides) under Hordeum vulgare. Its description in RNAcentral is "microRNA MIR1122". It matches the Rfam family "MIR1120/MIR1122 microRNA precursor family". Lineage: Eukaryota; Viridiplantae; Streptophyta; Magnoliopsida; Poales; Poaceae. The record is from RNAcentral.